This 433-nucleotide ribosomal RNA is filed under the name uncultured bacterium. Its description in RNAcentral is "partial 16S ribosomal RNA". It matches the Rfam family "Bacterial small subunit ribosomal RNA", at positions 29 to 507 of the family's 1533-position model. The record is from RNAcentral.
AACGAACGCUGGCGGCAUGCCUAACACAUGCAAGUCGAACGAGACCUUCGGGUCUAGUGGCGCACGUGUGCGUAACGCGUGGGAACCUGCCCUUAGGUUCGGAAUAACUCCCCGAAAGGGGUGCUAAUACCGGAUAAUGUCUUCGGACCAAAGAUUUGUCGCCUUUGGAUGGGCCCGCGUUGGUUUAGCUAGUUGGUAGGGUAAAAGCCUACCAACGCGACGAUCCAUAGCUGGUCUGAGAGGAUGAUCAGCCACACUGGGACUGAGGCCCGGCCCAGACUCCUACGGGAGGCAGCAGUGGGGAAUAUUGGACAAUGGGCGAAAGCCUGAUCCAGCAAUGCCGCGUGAGUGAUGAAGGCCUUAGGGUUGUAAAGCUCUUUUACCCGAGAUGAUAAUGACAGUACCGGGAGAAUAAGCUCCGGCUAACUCCGUG